This 576-nucleotide ribosomal RNA is filed under the name bacterium 5h100109. RNAcentral's name for it is "bacterial SSU rRNA". It matches the Rfam family "Bacterial small subunit ribosomal RNA", at positions 314 to 900 of the family's 1533-position model. The record is from RNAcentral.
UGGGACUGAGACACGGCCCAGACUCCUACGGGAGGCAGCAGUGGGGAAUAUUGCACAAUGGGCGAAAGCCUGAUGCAGCGACGCCGCGUGAGGGAUGACGGCCUUCGGGUUGUAAACCUCUUUCAGCAGGGAAGAAGCGAGAGUGACGGUACCUGCAGAAGAAGCGCCGGCUAACUACGUGCCAGCAGCCGCGGUAAUACGUAGGGCGCAAGCGUUGUCCGGAAUUAUUGGGCGUAAAGAGCUCGUAGGCGGCUUGUCACGUCGGUUGUGAAAGCCCGGGGCUUAACCCCGGGUCUGCAGUCGAUACGGGCAGGCUAGAGUUCGGUAGGGGAGAUCGGAAUUCCUGGUGUAGCGGUGAAAUGCGCAGAUAUCAGGAGGAACACCGGUGGCGAAGGCGGAUCUCUGGGCCGAUACUGACGCUGAGGAGCGAAAGCGUGGGGAGCGAACAGGAUUAGAUACCCUGGUAGUCCACGCCGUAAACGGUGGGCACUAGGUGUGGGCAACAUUCCACGUUGUCCGUGCCGCAGCUAACGCAUUAAGUGCCCCGCCUGGGGAGUACGGCCGCAAGGCUAAAAC